AACGCGAAGAACCUUACCAGCCCUUGACAUCCCGGUCGCGGUUUCCAGAGAUGGAUACCUUCAGUUCGGCUGGACCGGUGACAGGUGCUGCAUGGCUGUCGUCAGCUCGUGUCGUGAGAUGUUGGGUUAAGUCCCGCAACGAGCGCAACCCUCGCCCUUAGUUGCCAGCAUUCAGUUGGGCACUCUAAGGGGACUGCCGGUGAUAAGCCGAGAGGAAGGUGGGGAUGACGUCAAGUCCUCAUGGCCCUUACGGGCUGGGCUACACACGUGCUACAAUGGUGGUGACAGUGGGCAGCGAGACCGCGAGGUCGAGCUAAUCUCCAAAAGCCAUCUCAGUUCGGAUUGCACUCUGCAACUCGAGUGCAUGAAGUUGGAAUCGCUAGUAAUC
This 388-nucleotide ribosomal RNA is filed under the name uncultured bacterium. Its description in RNAcentral is "bacterial SSU rRNA". It matches the Rfam family "Bacterial small subunit ribosomal RNA", at positions 958 to 1343 of the family's 1533-position model. The record is from RNAcentral.